CCUACGGGAGGCUGCAGUGAGGAAUAUUGGUCAAUGGGCUUACGCCUGAACCAGCCAAGUCGCGUGAGGGAAGACUGCCCUAUGGGUUGUAAACCUCUUUUGUCAGGGAGCAACGCCGGCUACGUGUAGCCGGACUGAGAGUACCUGAAGAAAAAGCAUCGGCUAACUCCGUGCCAGCAGCCGCGGUAAUACGGAGGAUGCGAGCGUUAUCCGGAUUUAUUGGGUUUAAAGGGUGCGUAGGCGGAAUGCCAAGUCAGCGGUAAAAUCGCGGGGCUCAACCUGGAGACUGCACUUGAAACUGGGUGUCUUGAGGGCAGGAGAGGAAAGUGGAAUUCCUAGUGUAGCGGUGAAAUGCGUAGAUAUUAGGAGGAACACCAGUGGCGAAGGCGACUUUCUGGACUGUACCUGACGCUGAGGCGCGAAAGCGUGGGUAGCGAACGGGAUUAGAUACCCUAGUAGUC
Molecule: ribosomal RNA, 461 nt
Filed under: uncultured bacterium
Lineage: Bacteria
Description: partial 16S ribosomal RNA
Rfam family: Bacterial small subunit ribosomal RNA
Source: RNAcentral